This 488-nucleotide ribosomal RNA is filed under the name uncultured soil bacterium. RNAcentral's name for it is "bacterial SSU rRNA". It matches the Rfam family "Bacterial small subunit ribosomal RNA", at positions 26 to 515 of the family's 1533-position model. The record is from RNAcentral.
AGAUUGAACGCUGGCGGCAUGCCUUACACAUGCAAGUCGAACGGUAGAGUAGCAAUACUCGAGAGUGGCGAACGGGUGAGUAAUAUAUCGGAACGUGCCCAGUCGUGGGGGAUAACGCAGUGAAAGCUGUGCUAAUACCGCAUACGAUCUAUGGAUGAAAGCGGGGGACUCGCAAGAGCCUCGCGCGAUUGAAGCGGCCGAUAUCAGAUUAGCUAGUUGGUGGGGUAAAAGCCCACCAAGGCGACGAUCUGUAGCUGGUCUGAGAGGACGACCAGCCACACUGGAACUGAGACACGGUCCAGACUCCUACGGGAGGCAGCAGUGGGGAAUUUUGGACAAUGGGCGCAAGCCUGAUCCAGCAAUGCCGCGUGCAGGAUGAAGGCCUUGGGUUGUAAACUGCUUUUUGACGGAACGUAAAGGUCCUUUCUAAUACAAGGGCCCAUGACGGUACGUAAGAAUAAGCAACCGGCUAACUACGUGCCAGCACG